GGCACCACAUAUACCGAGAAGAUUAGCAUGAACCUGCACAAGGAUGGCACAAAAAUUUGUCAAGCAUUCCAUGUCUCA
RNAcentral lists this small nuclear RNA (78 nucleotides) under Mus pahari (shrew mouse). RNAcentral's name for it is "snRNA (MGP_PahariEiJ_G0033630.1)". The record is from RNAcentral. Lineage: Eukaryota; Metazoa; Chordata; Mammalia; Rodentia; Muridae.